CCUACGGGAGGCAGCAGUAGGGAAUCUUCCACAAUGGGCGAAAGCCUGAUGGAGCAACGCCGCGUGAGUGAUGAAGGCCUUCGGGUUGUAAAACUCUGUCAUUCGGGACGAACCGGAGUCUGAGGAAAUGCAGACUCUCUGACGGUACCGGAGGAGGAAGCCCCGGCUAGCUACGUGCCAGCAGCCGCGGUAAUACGUAGGGGGCAAGCGUUGUCCGGAUUCACCGGGCGUAAAGCGCGCGCAGGCGGUGAUGUAAGUCUGAGGUGAAAACCCGAAGCUCAACUUCGGGACUGCCUUGGAUACUGCGUCACUUGAGGAUAGGAGAGGCAAGGGGAAUUCCACGUGUAGCGGUGAAAUGCGUAGAGAUGUGGAGGAACACCUGUGGCGAAGGCGCCUUGCUGGCCUAUUUCUGACGCUGAGGCGCGAAAGCGUGGGGAGCAAACAGGAUUAGAUACCCUGGUAGUCCACGCUGUAAACGAUGAGUGCUAGGUGUAGGUGGGCUCAUACCCAUCUGUGCCGAAGCUAACGCAUUAAGCACUCCGCCCUGGGGAGUACGGUCGCAAGACUGAAACUUAAAUGAAUUGACGG
This 588-nucleotide ribosomal RNA is filed under the name uncultured bacterium. Its description in RNAcentral is "bacterial SSU rRNA". It matches the Rfam family "Bacterial small subunit ribosomal RNA", at positions 338 to 916 of the family's 1533-position model. The record is from RNAcentral.